RNAcentral lists this ribosomal RNA (434 nucleotides) under Simorcus cf. asiaticus MR381. RNAcentral describes it as "partial 16S ribosomal RNA". The record is from RNAcentral. Lineage: Eukaryota; Metazoa; Arthropoda; Arachnida; Araneae; Thomisidae.
UUUUAUCAGAAAUUAUUGAUAAUAAAAUCUGCUCAAUGUAAUUAAAUAGCCGCAAUUGUGCUAAGGUAGUAUAAUCACUUGUCUUCUAAUUUAAGACUAGAACAAAAGAUUUAACACUUGAAUAAAUAUAAAAAUUUAUUAUUUUAAAUUAUUUUUAAUGUAAAAAAACAUUAAUUUAUAAAAUAGACGAUAAGACCCUAUUGAACUUCACUUUAGUUAAACUGGGGAAGUUAAUUAAUUAUUAUUUUAAAAAUAAUUAAUCAAUAAAUGACCUAAUAAAAUUAAUUUCAUGAACAAGUUACCAUAGGGAUAACAGUGUAAUAUUAUUUUCAAGAUCUUAUUUAAAAUAAUGAUUGCAACCUCGAUGUUGACUAAUACUCCUUAAUAAUGCAAUAAUUAUUAUAGGAAGUCUGUUCGACUUUUAAAUAAUUACA